GUACGCCUACAAGUGCUAUACGAUAGCGACUAGGAAGGCGCCGCCACUUGGAUGAAUCCGCCAGUCUACGGAUGCAGCAGUGGGAUAUGCCAUGGCGAAGCUGAUGCAGGACCGCGCUGAGGAUGACGCUCCGGUGUAACUCUUCAGUAGGGACGAGCGCAGUGACGUACUACAGAGAAGCACGGCUACUACGUGCAGCAGCAGCGUAAUACGUAGGGUGCGAGCGUGUCCGAAUAUGGGCGUAAAGAGCUCGUAGGCGGUUGUGCGUCGGCUGUGAAACCUACAGCUUAACUGUGGGCUGCAGUCGAUACGGGCAGACUGAGUUCGGCAGGGAGACUGGAAUUCCUGGUGUAGCGGUGAAAUGCGCAGAUAUCAGGAGGAACACCGGUGGCGAAGGCGGGUCUCUGGGCCGAUACUGACGCUGAGGAGCGAAAGCGUGGGGAGCGAACAGGAUUAGAUACCCUGGUAGUCCACGCCGUAAACGGUGGGUGCUAGGUGUGGGGGACUUCCACGUCCUCCGUGCCGCAGCUAACGCAUUAAGCACCCCGCCUGGGGAGUACGGCCGCAAGGCUAAAACUCAAAGGAAUUGACGGGGGCCCGCACAAGCGGCGGAGCAUGUGGAUUAAUUCGAUGCAACGCGAAGAACCUUACCUGGGCUUGACAUACACCGGAAACAUCCAGAGAUGGGUGCCCCGCAAGGUCGGUGUACAGGUGGUGCAUGGCUGUCGUCAGCUCGUGUCGUGAGAUGUUGGGUUAAGUCCCGCAACGAGCGCAACCCUCGUUCCAUGUUGCCAGCGCGUUAUGGCGGGGACUCAUGGGAGACUGCCGGGGUCAACUCGGAGGAAGGUGGGGAUGACGUCAAGUCAUCAUGCCCCUUAUGUCCAGGGCUUCACAUAUGCUACAAUGGCCGGUACAAAGGGCUGCUAAGCCGCGAGGUGGAGCGAAUCCCAUAAAGCCGGUCUCAGUUCGGAUCGGGGUCUGCAACUCGACCCCGUGAAGUCGGAGUCGCUAGUAAUCGCAGAUCAGCAACGCUGCGGUGAAUACGUUCCCGGGCCUUGUACACACCGCCCGUCACGUCACGAAAGUCGGUAACACCCGAAGCCCGUGGCCCAACCCGCAAGGGGGGGAGCUGACGAACUACACUAUGAUGGCCCC
This 1155-nucleotide ribosomal RNA is filed under the name uncultured bacterium. RNAcentral's name for it is "bacterial SSU rRNA". It matches the Rfam family "Bacterial small subunit ribosomal RNA", at positions 259 to 1487 of the family's 1533-position model. The record is from RNAcentral.